AUCCCCCAACAUUCCUUUCACUAUCUUAUAUGAACGAUUCUCAUCAGCACCUGAAGUCAUCAUAAUUAUACGACAAUAGUUGCAACCUGCAUGCACCAAUACUGCUUGAAUAGAGAGCCCUCCUUUUUCAGGCACAGUCGGUUUCUAGUAGAUCAUUUCCAUUGGCCAAAUCAUUCAGGAUGCAGUGGUGCUUACAAAAUGAGCACCUAUAUAGACAAUAUGAUGCCUUGAACAGCCAGAUGGUA
Long non-coding RNA from Halichondria panicea, 245 nucleotides. RefSeq lists it as uncharacterized. NCBI's taxonomy places the organism in Eukaryota, Metazoa, Porifera, Demospongiae, Suberitida, Halichondriidae. The record is from RefSeq and is a predicted model, not a curated record. The transcript has 3 exons.